UACGUAGGGACCGAGCGUUGUCCGGAAUCAUUGGGCGUAAAGAGCGUGUAGGCGGCCACUUAAGUCCUGCGUGAAAUCUUGCGGCUCAACCGCAAGCGGUCGUGGGAAACUGGGUGGCUAGAGUGCGGGAGAGGAGAGUGGAAUUCCGUGGUGUAGCGGUGGAAUGCGCAGAUAUCAGGAAGAACACCCGUGGCGAAGGCGGCUCUCUGGAACGCAACUGACGCUGAGACGCGAAAGCGUGGGGAGCAAACAGG
Molecule: ribosomal RNA, 254 nt
Filed under: uncultured bacterium
Lineage: Bacteria
Description: partial 16S ribosomal RNA
Rfam family: Bacterial small subunit ribosomal RNA
Source: RNAcentral